CUAAGAUCAUAAUUGUACUCCACAUCGGACUGGCCAAAUAUUGCUGAGCCUCUAAAUGCUAUUGGCUUAGACACACCUCUCUCUUAAGGAACUCAGAAUCCAAUAGGAUUCCAUUGCAAAGUUUAGAGUCUGCAUUCUCAUGCUUUAAACUUUGCAAUAACAUCAUGUAGUGAUACUAGUGUGAGAGUUAUCAAAUUUAAGACAUUUGAGUCAUUGUUCAGCAGAAUUUUUUUAGCAUUUUUAACAUUGUUUAGCAAAAUUUUCAGA
RNAcentral lists this long non-coding RNA (267 nucleotides) under Bos taurus (domestic cattle). Its description in RNAcentral is "long non-coding RNA NONBTAT019239". Lineage: Eukaryota; Metazoa; Chordata; Mammalia; Artiodactyla; Bovidae. The record is from RNAcentral.